AUUGGACGCUGGCGGCAUGCCUUACACAUGCAAGUCGAACGGCAGCGCGGGGCAACCUGGCGGCGAGUGGCGAACGGGUGAGUAAUAUAUCGGAACGUACCCUGGAGUGGGGGAUAACGUAGCGAAAGUUACGCUAAUACCGCAUACGAUCUAAGGAUGAAAGUGGGGGAUUCGCAAGAACCUCAUGCUCCUGGAGCGGCCGAUAUCUGAUUAGCUAGUUGGUGGGGUAAAGGCCUACCAAGGCAUCGAUCAGUAGCUGGUCUGAGAGGACGACCAGCCACACUGGAACUGAGCCACGGUCCAGACUCCUACGGGAGGCAGCAGUGGGGAAUUUUGGACAAUGGGCGAAAGCCUGAUCCAGCAAUGCCGCGUGAGUGAAGAAGGCCUUCGGGUUGUAAAGCUCUUUUGUCAGGGAAGAAACGGUGAGGGCUAAUAUCCUUUGCUAAUGACGGUACCUGAAGAAUAAGCACCGGCUAACUACGUGCCAGCAGCCGCGGUAAUACGUAGGGUGCAAGCGUUAAUCGGAAUUACUGGGCGUAAAGCGUGCGCAGGCGGUUUUGUAAGUCUGUCGUGAAAUCCCCGGGCUCAACCUGGGAAUUGCGAUGGAGACUGCAAGGCUAGAAUCUGGCAGAGGGGGGUAGAAUUCCACGUGUAGCAGUGAAAUGCGUAGAGAUGUGGAGGAACACCGAUGGCGAAGGCAGCCCCCUGGGUCAAGAUUGACGCUCAUGCACGAAAGCGUGGGGAGCAAACAGGAUUAGAUACCCUGGUAGUCCACGCCCUAAACGAUGUCUACUAGUUGUCGGGUUUUAAUUAACUUGGUAACGCAGCUAACGCGUGAAGUAGACCGCCUGGGGAGUACGGUCGCGAGAUUAAAACUCAAAGGAAUUGACGGGGACCCGCACAAGCGGUGGAUGAUGUGGAUUAAUUCGAUGCAACGCGAAAAACCUUACCUACCCUUGACAUGUACGGAAGUCCGGAGAGAUCUGGAUGUGCCCGAAAGAGAGCCGUAACACAGGUGCUGCAUGGCUGUCGUCAGCUCGUGUCGUGAGAUGUUGGGUUAAGUCCCGCAACGAGCGCAACCCUUGUCAUUAGUUGCUACGAAAGGGCACUCUAAUGAGACUGCCGGUGACAAACCGGAGGAGGGUGGGGAUGACGUCAAGUCCUCAUGGCCCUUAUGGGUAGGGCUUCACACGUCAUACAAUGGUACAUACAGAGGGCCGCCAACCCGCGAGGGGGAGCUAAUCCCAGAAAGUGUAUCGUAGUCCGGAUUGUAGUCUGCAACUCGACUACAUGAAGUUGGAAUCGCUAGUAAUCGCGGAUCAGCAUGUCGCGGUGAAUACGUUCCCGGGUCU
This 1352-nucleotide ribosomal RNA is filed under the name uncultured bacterium. RNAcentral describes it as "bacterial SSU rRNA". It matches the Rfam family "Bacterial small subunit ribosomal RNA", at positions 28 to 1381 of the family's 1533-position model. The record is from RNAcentral.